This 460-nucleotide ribosomal RNA is filed under the name uncultured bacterium. Its description in RNAcentral is "partial 16S ribosomal RNA". It matches the Rfam family "Bacterial small subunit ribosomal RNA", at positions 338 to 795 of the family's 1533-position model. The record is from RNAcentral.
CCUACGGGUGGCAGCCGUGAGGAAUAUUGGUCAAUGGACGAAAGUCUGAACCAGCCAAGUAGCGUGAAGGAUGACUGCCCUAUGGGUUGUAAACUUCUUUUAUAUGGGAAUAAAAUGUUCCACGUGUGGGCUUUUGUAUGUACCAUAUGAAUAAGGAUCGGCUAACUCCGUGCCAGCAGCCGCGGUAAUACGGAGGAUCCGAGCGUUAUCCGGAUUUAUUGGGUUUAAAGGGAGCGUAGGUGGAUUGUUAAGUCAGUUGUGAAAGUUUGCGGCUCAACCGUAAAAUUGCAGUUGAAACUGGCAGUCUUGAGUACAGUAGAGGUGGGCGGAAUUCGUGGUGUAGCGGUGAAAUGCUUAGAUAUCACGAAGAACUCCGAUUGCGAAGGCAGCUCACUGGACUGCAACUGACACUGAGGCUCGAAAGUGUGGGUAUCAAACAGGAUUAGAUACCCGAGUAGUC